Myotis myotis is the source of this 503-nucleotide long non-coding RNA. RefSeq lists it as uncharacterized. The record is from RefSeq and is a predicted model, not a curated record. The transcript is spliced from 2 exons. NCBI's taxonomy places the organism in Eukaryota, Metazoa, Chordata, Mammalia, Chiroptera, Vespertilionidae.
CGCCGGGCUCAGAGGACCGACGGGCCAGGGUGCAGGAGCGCAGGUUCCUCGCGAACCGCCGGCGGGGAUCUCCUCUGGCGGGCGGGCCCCUUCGCCCUCCCCGGCGAGGACGGCUGACUUUUCACAGGAAGCCAGACCUCAGCCCUUGAUGCAAUUCAGUCAUGUGUGUUCGGCAACAACGUGAGACUCUUAAGGCACCAAGGCACGCGUGAGCAGCCCAAGAAAGGGGCAACCACCUCUACUGGAGAACAGCUCCCACAGCCACCCACCACCAAAGCUUCGGUCCCACCUCUUCCUGCUUUCCUGGGUGGGGGACGGGGAGAAAGGCUGCCCUGGGGUGGAAGCGUUGGGCCUGGCCCUGCCCCAGAGCCCCAGGUGGACGAGCCAGGGGCCUGGAGCCUCCGGAGCAGCCUGAGGCAUGGUGUUCCGUGCCCCCAAGCCCCAGCCGUUCAAGGAUCAACUGUAAUUUGUUGUUACUGUUAUCACGUCAUGUUUAACACUAA